This 498-nucleotide ribosomal RNA is filed under the name Elaphe carinata (Taiwan stink snake). Its description in RNAcentral is "partial 12S ribosomal RNA". It matches the Rfam family "Bacterial small subunit ribosomal RNA", at positions 875 to 1520 of the family's 1533-position model. Lineage: Eukaryota; Metazoa; Chordata; Lepidosauria; Squamata; Colubridae. The record is from RNAcentral.
GCCUAACCAUAACAUAACAAUAAAACCACCAAUUGUUCGCCAAAUAACUACGAGUAAAAACUUAAAAUUUAAAAGACUUGACGGUGCCUCAAAACAACCUAGAGGAGCCUGUCUAGUAACCGAUACUCCACGAUUAACCCAACCCACCCUAGCCUAACAGUCUAUAUACCGCCGUCGCCAGCCUACCUUGUGAAAGAAACAAAGUGAGCUUAACAGUCAUACACUAAUACGACAGGUCGAGGUGUAACUUAUGGGGGGGGUCCAAGAUGGGCUACAUUUUCUAAAUCAGAAAACACGAAUUAACCUAUGAAAAAGAAACUGAAGGCGGAUUUAGCAGUAUGCCAAGAACAACAAACCUAACAGAAAUCAACGCAAUGAGGUGCGUACACACCGCCCGUCAUCCCUGUCAACCAACUAUCAAAAUUCAUAAACUAAAAUUGACUACUAAAGCAGGGCAAGUCGUAACAUGGUAAGCGUACUGGAAAGUGCGCUUAGAAA